This is a non-coding RNA of Hordeum vulgare subsp. vulgare (domesticated barley), 133 nucleotides long. The record is from Rfam. NCBI's taxonomy places the organism in Eukaryota, Viridiplantae, Streptophyta, Magnoliopsida, Poales, Poaceae.
UUAAUACUCCCUCCGUCCGGAAAUACUUGUCAUAAGAAAUUAAGAAUGGAUGUAUCUAGAUGUAUUUUAGUUCUAGAUACAUCCUUUUUUAUCCAUUUGUGCGACAAGUAAUUCCGGACAGAGGGAGUAGUUA